RNAcentral lists this unclassified non-coding RNA (192 nucleotides) under uncultured Cladophialophora. RNAcentral describes it as "sequence contains ITS1". Lineage: Eukaryota; Fungi; Ascomycota; Eurotiomycetes; Chaetothyriales; Herpotrichiellaceae. The record is from RNAcentral.
ACGAGUUAGGGUCUUCCAGGCCCGACCUCCCAACCCUUUGUUUACCGAACCUCUGUUGCUUCGGCGGAUCCGUCUCACGACCGCCGGAGGGCUCGCCGAGAGGCGUCCUCUGGCCCGUGUCCGCCGACAGCCAACCACUUAAAACUCUGGAUAAAUCAUGUCGUAUGUCUAAGUCUAUGAUUAAAUAAAGCA